Molecule: ribosomal RNA, 881 nt
Filed under: uncultured bacterium
Lineage: Bacteria
Description: bacterial SSU rRNA
Rfam family: Bacterial small subunit ribosomal RNA
Source: RNAcentral
AGAGUUUGAUCCUGGCUCAGGAUGAACGCUGGCGGCGUGCUUAACACAUGCAAGUCGAACGGAAGUUUUAAAUGGAAGUUUUCGGAUGGAAAUUUAAAACUUUAGUGGCGGACGGGUGAGUAACGCGUGGGUAACCUGCCGUAUACAGGGGGAUAACACUUAGAAAUAGGUGCUAAUACCGCAUAAGCGCACAGCUUCGCAUGAAGCAGUGUGAAAAGCUCCGACGGUAUACGAUGGACCCGCGUCUGAUUAGCUAGUUGGUGAGGUAGAGGCUCACCAAGGCGACGAUCAGUAGCCGGCCUGAGAGGGUGACCGGCCACAUUGGGACUGAGACACGGCCCAAACUCCUACGGGAGGCAGCAGUGGGGAAUAUUGCACAAUGGGGGAAACCCUGAUGCAGCGACGCCGCGUGAGUGAAGAAGUAUUUCGGUAUGUAAAGCUCUAUCAGCAGGGAAGAAAAUGACGGUACCUGACUAAGAAGCCCCGGCUAACUACGUGCCAGCAGCCGCGGUAAUACGUAGGGGGCAAGCGUUAUCCGGAUUUACUGGGUGUAAAGGGAGCGUAGACGGUUGUGCAAGUCUGAUGUGAAAGCCCGGUGCUCAACGCCGGGACUGCAUUGGAAACUGUAUAACUAGAGUGCAGGAGAGGUAAGCGGAAUUCCUAGUGUAGCGGUGAAAUGCGUAGAUAUUAGGAGGAACACCAGUGGCGAAGGCGGCUUACUGGACUGUAACUGACGUUGAGGCUCGAAAGCGUGGGGAGCAAACAGGAUUAGAUACCCUGGUAGUCCACGCCGUAAACGAUGAUUACUAGGUGUCGGCAGGCAAGGCCUGUCGGUGCCGCCGCAAACGCAAUAAGUAAUCCACCUGGGGAGUACGUUCGCA